GCGACCCCAGCUCAAGCGAGAACACCCGCUGAGUUU
Molecule: ribosomal RNA, 36 nt
Filed under: Abies spectabilis
Lineage: Eukaryota; Viridiplantae; Streptophyta; Pinopsida; Pinales; Pinaceae
Description: partial 26S ribosomal RNA
Source: RNAcentral